UGAGGAAUAUUGGUCAAUGGGCGGAAGCCUGAACCAGCCAAGUAGCGUGAAGGAUUACAGCCCUACGGGUUUUAAACUUCUUUUAUAUAAGAGUAAUGUGCACUACGUGUAGUGUAUUGCAAGUAUUAUAUGAAUAAGCAUCGGCUAACUCCGUGCCAGCAGCCGCGGUAAUACGGAGGAUGCGAGCGUUAUCCGGAUUUAUUGGGUUUAAAGGGAGCGUAGGCGGGAUAUUAAGUCAGUCGUCAAAGCCUGUGGCUCAACCACAGCCCGCGAUUGAUACUGGUAACCUUGAGUGCGGAUGAGGUGGAUGGAAUUCGUGGUGUAGCGGUGAAAUGCUUAGAUAUCACGAAGAACUCCGAUUGCGAAGGCAGUUCACUGGGCCGCAACUGACGCUGAAGCUCGAAAGUGCGGGUAUCAAACAGG
RNAcentral lists this ribosomal RNA (423 nucleotides) under uncultured prokaryote. RNAcentral describes it as "bacterial SSU rRNA". It matches the Rfam family "Bacterial small subunit ribosomal RNA", at positions 355 to 776 of the family's 1533-position model. RNAcentral also lists the same sequence under 1 other name. The record is from RNAcentral.